GUGGGGAAUCUUAGACAAUGGGCGCAAGCCUGAUCUAGCCAUGCCGCGUGAGCGAUGAAGGCCUUAGGGUUGUAAAGCUCUUUCGUGGGGGAAGAUAAUGACUGUACCCCAAGAAGAAGCCCCGGCUAACUCCGUGCCAGCAGCCGCGGUAAUACGGAGGGGGCUAGCGUUGUUCGGAAUUACUGGGCGUAAAGCGCACGUAGGCGGACUGGAAAGUCAGGGGUGAAAUCCCGGGGCGCAACCCCGGAACUGCCUUUGAUACUCCCAGGCUUGAGUUCGAGAGAGGUGAGUAGAAUUCCGAGUGUAGAGGUGAAAUUCAUAGAUAUUCGUAGGAACACCAGUGGCGAAGGCGGCUCACUGGCUCGAUACUGACGCAGAGGUGCGAAAGCGUGGGGAGCAAACAGGAUUAGAAACCCGUGUAGUCA
RNAcentral lists this ribosomal RNA (425 nucleotides) under uncultured bacterium. Its description in RNAcentral is "partial 16S ribosomal RNA". It matches the Rfam family "Bacterial small subunit ribosomal RNA", at positions 354 to 796 of the family's 1533-position model. The record is from RNAcentral.